Molecule: ribosomal RNA, 248 nt
Filed under: uncultured bacterium
Lineage: Bacteria
Description: partial 16S ribosomal RNA
Source: RNAcentral
CUGCUGCCUCCCGUAGGAGUAUGGACCGUGUCUCAGUUCCAUUGUGGCCGAUCAGUCUCUCAACUCGGCUAUGCAUCAUCGCCUUGGUAAGCCGUUACCUUACCAACUAGCUAAUGCACCGCAGGUCCAUCCCAGAGUGAUAGCCAAAGCCAUCUUUCAAAUAAAAGCCAUGCGGCUUUUAUUGUUAUGCGGUAUUAGCAUCUGUUUCCAAAUGUUACUCCCCCGCUCCGGGGCAGGUUACCUACGUU